AUUUUAAAUCUAGCCUAAAUAUAAAACACUAAUUCCUAAAACACAAAACAUUAUUACAUGAUAGUACGGGCGACAGAAAACUUUUUAGCGCAAUAGAAAAAGUACUGUAAAGGAAAGAUGAAAUAAAAAUGAAAUAAAAUAAAAAUAUAAAAAAGCAAAGACUGCGACUUUUACCUUUAGCAUAAUGAUCUAGCCAGUCUAUAUUAACACAAAGAAAUUUAGUUAUAUACCCCGAAACCACGCGAGCUACCAUAAGACAGCAAUAUACGAGCAAACCCUUCUCUGUAGCAAAAGAGUGGGAAGAACUUUUGGUAGAGGCGAAAAACCAAACGAGCCUGGAUAUAGCUGGUUACUUGAGAAUGAAUUUUAGUUCAACUAAAAGCAUGAAUAUUACAAAAUAAUAACGCUUUUAUUAUAAUUAAUUGAGGUACAGCCCAAUUAAUAAAGGAAACAACCUA
This 458-nucleotide ribosomal RNA is filed under the name Desmognathus ochrophaeus (Allegheny mountain salamander). Its description in RNAcentral is "partial 16S ribosomal RNA". The stretch from base 153 to 458 matches the Rfam family "Bacterial large subunit ribosomal RNA", at positions 568 to 1029 of the family's 2925-position model. The record is from RNAcentral. Lineage: Eukaryota; Metazoa; Chordata; Amphibia; Caudata; Plethodontidae.